RNAcentral lists this ribosomal RNA (498 nucleotides) under uncultured bacterium. RNAcentral describes it as "partial 16S ribosomal RNA". It matches the Rfam family "Bacterial small subunit ribosomal RNA", at positions 29 to 523 of the family's 1533-position model. The record is from RNAcentral.
AUUGAACGCUGGCGGCAUGCUUUACACAUGCAAGUCGAACGGUAACAGGCCGCAAGGUGCUGACGAGUGGCGAACGGGUGAGUAAUGCAUCGGAACGUGCCCAGUCGUGGGGGAUAACGCAGCGAAAGCUGUGCUAAUACCGCAUACGAUCUAUGGAUGAAAGCGGGGGACCGUAAGGCCUCGCGCGAUUGGAGCGGCCGAUGUCAGAUUAGGUAGUUGGUGGGGUAAAGGCCCACCAAGCCAACGAUCUGUAGCUGGUCUGAGAGGACGACCAGCCACACUGGGACUGAGACACGGCGCAGACUCCUACGGGAGGCAGCAGUGGGGAAUUUUGGACAAUGGGCGCAAGCCUGAUCCAGCAAUGCCGCGUGCAGGAAGAAGGCCUUCGGGUUGUAAACUGCUUUUGUACGGAACGAAAAGGUCUGGGUUAAUACCCUGGGCCGAUGACGGUACCGUAAGAAUAAGCACCGGCUAACAACGUGCCAGCCGCCGCCGUAA